GCCACGGAGGCAGCAGUGGGGAAUAUUGGGCAAUGGGCGCAAGCCUGACCCAGCAACGCCGCGUGAAGGAAGAAGGCUUUCGGGUUGUAAACUUCUUUUAUGAGGGACGAAACAAAUGACGGUACCUCAUGAAUAAGCCACGGCUAACUACGUGCCAGCAGCCGCGGUAAUACGUAGGCGGCAAGCGUUAUCCGGAUUUACUGGGUGUAAAGGGCGUGUAGGCGGGACUGCAAGUCAGAUGUGAAAAUUAUGGGCUCAACCCAUAACCUGCAUUUGAAACUGUAGUUCUUGAGUGAUGGAGAGGC
RNAcentral lists this ribosomal RNA (305 nucleotides) under uncultured bacterium. RNAcentral describes it as "bacterial SSU rRNA". It matches the Rfam family "Bacterial small subunit ribosomal RNA", at positions 338 to 658 of the family's 1533-position model. The record is from RNAcentral.